RNAcentral lists this ribosomal RNA (483 nucleotides) under uncultured bacterium. RNAcentral's name for it is "partial 16S ribosomal RNA". It matches the Rfam family "Bacterial small subunit ribosomal RNA", at positions 28 to 507 of the family's 1533-position model. The record is from RNAcentral.
GACGAACGCUGGCGGCGUGCUUAACACAUGCAAGUCGAACGCUGAAGCUCAGCUUUUGUUGGGUGGAUGAGUGGCGAACGGGUGAGUAACACGUGAGUAACCUGCCCCCUUCUUUGGGAUAACGCCCGGAAACGGGUGCUAAUACUGGAUAUUCACUGGUCUUCGCAUGGGGGUUGGUGGAAAGGGUUUUUCUGGUGGGGGAUGGGCUCGUGGCCUAUCAGCUUGUUGGUGGGGUGAUGGCCUACCAAGGCUUUGACGGGUAGCCGGCCUGAGAGGGUGACCGGUCACAUUGGGACGGAGAUACGGCCCAGACUCCUACGGGAGGCAGCAGUGGGGAAUAUUGCACAAUGGGCGCAAGCCUGAUGCAGCGACGCCGCGUGAGGGAUGGAGGCCUUCGGGUUGUGAACCUCUUUCGCUCAUGGUCAAGCCGCAACAAUGGUUGUGGUGAGGGUAGUGGGUAAAGAAGCGCCGGCUAACUACGUG